CAGUCGCCGCGGGAACACGAAGGGUGCAAGCGUUAAUCGGAAUUACUGGGCGUAAAGCGUGCGUAGGCGGUUUGUUAAGUCUGUUGUGAAAUCCCCGGGCUCAACCUGGGAAUGGCAAUGGAUACUGGCAAGCUAGAGUGUGUCAGAGGAUGGUGGAAUUCCCGGUGUAGCGGUGAAAUGCGUAGAGAUCGGGAGGAACAUCAGUGGCGAAGGCGGCCAUCUGGGACAACACUGACGCUGAGGCACGAAAGCGUGGGGAGCAAACAGGAUUAGAUACCCCUGUAGUCCCUGUCUCUUAUAC
This 301-nucleotide ribosomal RNA is filed under the name uncultured bacterium. RNAcentral's name for it is "partial 16S ribosomal RNA". It matches the Rfam family "Bacterial small subunit ribosomal RNA", at positions 509 to 807 of the family's 1533-position model. The record is from RNAcentral.